GAGGAAUAUUGGACAAUGGGUGAAAGCCUGAUCCAGCCAUCCCGCGUGAAGGAUGACGGUCCCAUGGAUUGUAAACUUCUUUUGUACAGGGAUAAACCUACCCUCGUGAGGGUAGCUGAAGGUACUGUACGAAUAAGCACCGGCUAACUCCGUGCCAGCAGCCGCGGUAAUACGGAGGGUGCAAGCGUUAUCCGGAUUUAUUGGGUUUAAAGGGUCCGUAGGCGGACCUGUAAGUCAGUGGUGAAAUCUCAUAGCUUAACUAUGAAACUGCCAUUGAUACUGCAGGUCUUGAGUAAAUUUGAAGUGGCUGGAAUAAGUAGUGUAGCGGUGAAAUGCAUAGAUAUUACUUAGAACACCAAUUGCGAAGGCAGGUCACUAAGAUUUAACUGACGCUGAUGGACGAAAGCGUGGGUAGCGAAC
This 420-nucleotide ribosomal RNA is filed under the name uncultured bacterium. RNAcentral's name for it is "bacterial SSU rRNA". It matches the Rfam family "Bacterial small subunit ribosomal RNA", at positions 356 to 773 of the family's 1533-position model. The record is from RNAcentral.